AUGGACCCUGGGCGAUGUUCGGCAGCCCAGCUCCGAGUCGUACGGCUCUCGCUUUUUUACUUGGACCCUAACCAUCCCAAUGCUCCAGCAUGUACACGUGUCAACAGGUCAAGUAAGCGAACACAGCGAAAAAGUAGGAUCGCACAGGCGAUCAGGGAAGCGACGAGGGUUCCCUUACGCGCCGUCGAUGACGCCGCCGGUUCCCUCUCUCUCCGUCGGCCGCUCCGGUGGCGGGAGGGAGGGGAGACCUCGGGUCUGUUCGCUAGGUGGGUGUGUGGUAGGGUUAGCGUUGAGGGAGACGCUGCCGAGGCCGCUGCGGUGGUGUCGCGUCGGAAUAAGUUUCUCCGGGCUCCGUUCGCGGUCAGGCGAGGCUUUUGCCUUCGUCUAGGAGCCAGCGGAGUUGGGGAUCCCUGGGUCUCAUCAAGGUCGCGGGCUUUGGUGGCUGGAGGUCCAUCGGCACUGGCCGUUUGGGUUCUCAGAUGGGCGAUGGAUGCAGGAAGAUGA
This 504-nucleotide ribosomal RNA is filed under the name Triticum aestivum (bread wheat). Its description in RNAcentral is "partial small subunit ribosomal RNA". The record is from RNAcentral. Lineage: Eukaryota; Viridiplantae; Streptophyta; Magnoliopsida; Poales; Poaceae.